Molecule: ribosomal RNA, 253 nt
Filed under: uncultured bacterium
Lineage: Bacteria
Description: partial 16S ribosomal RNA
Rfam family: Bacterial small subunit ribosomal RNA
Source: RNAcentral
GACGAACUGUGCAAACGUUAUUCGGAAUCACUGGGCUUGAAGAGUGCGUAGGCGGUUUCGUAAGUAGGGUGUGAAAGCCCCCAGCUCAACUGGGGAACUGCGUCCUAAACUGCGAGGCUGGAGUGAGGUAGGGGUGUGUGGAACUUCCGGUGGAGCGGUGAAAUGUGUUGAUAUCGGAAGGAACGCCGGUGGCGAAAGCGACACACUGGGCCUUGUCUGACGCUGAGGCACGAAAGCCAGGGGAGCAAACAGG